GACGAACCGUGCGAACGUUGUUCGGAAUCACUGGGCUUAAAGGGCGCGUAGGCGGCUUUGCAAGUGACGGGUGAAAUCCCUCGGCUUAACCGAGGAACUGCCUGUCAGACUGCAUGGCUUGAGACCAGGAGAGGUGAGUGGAAUUCCCAGUGUAGCGGUGAAAUGCGUAGAUAUUGGGAGGAACACCAGUGGCGAAGGCGGCUCACUGGACUGGUACUGACGCUGAAGAACGAAAGCCAGGGGAGCAAACGGG
RNAcentral lists this ribosomal RNA (253 nucleotides) under uncultured bacterium. RNAcentral describes it as "partial 16S ribosomal RNA". It matches the Rfam family "Bacterial small subunit ribosomal RNA", at positions 524 to 776 of the family's 1533-position model. The record is from RNAcentral.